GUAAAGUUUAAUUCUGGCUUAAAGAUUUAUUAAAUUUUUUAAUUACAUGUAAAUUUUUGUAUGAAUUUAAAGUUAAUUUUAAUAGUUGGUUUUAAAAUUUUAUUCGCAGUAUAAAGUUUUAUUAAUUUAAGAAAUUAAGAAUUAUAAAAAAAUUAUAAUAUUGACAAAAUUUGUGCCAGCAGUUGCGGUUAUACAAAAAAUAUAAAUAAAUUUUAUUGAUUGAUAAUAAAAAGUUUUAUUUUUAAUUAAAAUUAAAUUUGUAAGGUGAAAUUUAAAAUUUAAAAUAAUUAUUAUUAAAUUUUUUGAUGUUAUUAAAUUUAAAAGUUAAACUAGGAUUAGAUACCCUAUUAUUUUAAUUGUAAAAAUAUUCAUUUAAGUAGUAUUAGUUAUGAUCUUGAAAUUUAAAGAUUUUGGCGGUAUUUUAGUCUAUUCAGAGGAACCUGUCCUGUAAUUGAUAGUCCACGAUAAAUUAUACUUAGCAUAUUAAUUUGUAUAUCGUCGUUAUUAAGUAUUUUAAAAGAAUAUAAAUGUUUAAGUUUUUACAUUAUAAAAUAUAUCAGAUCAAGGUGCAGUUUAUAGUUAAGAAGAGAUGGGUUACAAUAAAUUUAUUUAUAUGGAUUUAUAUAUAAAAAUUUAUAAUAAAAGUGGAUUUGAUAGUAAUAAUAUUUAGAUAAAUUUUAUGAUUUUAGCUCUAAAAUGUGUACAUAUCGCCCGUCGCUCUUAUUUUAAAAUAAGAUAAGUCGUAACAAAGUAGAUGUACUGGAAAGUGUAUCUGGAAUGAC
RNAcentral lists this non-coding RNA (782 nucleotides) under Nectoporus sanmarkii. The record is from RNAcentral. Lineage: Eukaryota; Metazoa; Arthropoda; Insecta; Coleoptera; Dytiscidae.